RNAcentral lists this ribosomal RNA (253 nucleotides) under uncultured bacterium. RNAcentral's name for it is "partial 16S ribosomal RNA". It matches the Rfam family "Bacterial small subunit ribosomal RNA", at positions 524 to 776 of the family's 1533-position model. The record is from RNAcentral.
UACGAAGGGGGCUAGCGUUGCUCGGAAUGACUGGGCGUAAAGCGCACGUAGUCGGCUUUGCAAGUCGGGUGUGAAAUCCCCGGGCUCAACCUGGGAACUGCAUCCGAGACUGCAUUGCUAGAGUAUGGGAGAGGGAAGCGGAAUUUCUGGUGUAGCAGUGAAAUGCGUAGAUAUCAGAAGGAACAUCAGUGGCGAAGGCGGCCUCCUGGACCAAUACUGACGAUCAGGUGCGAAAGCGUGGGGAGCAAACAGG